This 425-nucleotide ribosomal RNA is filed under the name uncultured bacterium. RNAcentral describes it as "partial 16S ribosomal RNA". It matches the Rfam family "Bacterial small subunit ribosomal RNA", at positions 359 to 775 of the family's 1533-position model. The record is from RNAcentral.
GAAUAUUGGACAAUGGGGGGAACCCUGAUCCAGCCAUGCCGCGUGGUGGAAGAAGGCCUUUUGGUUGUAAAGCACUUUAAGCGAGGAGGAGGCUACCUGGAUUAAUACUUUAGGAUAGUGGACGUUACUCGCCGAAUAAGCACCGGCGAACUCUGUGCCAGCAGCCGCGGUAAUACAGAGGGUGCGAGCGUUAAUCGGAGUUACUGGGCGUAAAGCGUGCGUAGGCGGCAAAUUAAGUCAAAUGUGAAAUCCCCGAGCUUAACUUGGGAAUUGCAUUCGAUACUGGUUGGCUAGAGUAUGGGAGAGGAUGGUAGAAUUCCAGGUGUAGCGGUGAAAUGCGUAGAGAUCUGGAGGAAUACCGAUGGCGAAGGCAGCCAUCUGGCCUAAUACUGACGCUGAGGUACGAAAGCAUGGGGAGCAAACAG